CGGAGGCAGUGGCAGACGGGUGAGUAACGCGUGGGAAUCUACCCAUCUCUACGGAACAACAGUUGGAAACGACUGCUAAUACCGUAUACGCCCUUCGGGGGAAAGAUUUAUCGGAGAUGGAUGAGCCCGCGUUGGAUUAGCUAGUUGGUGGGGUAAAGGCCUACCAAGGCGACGAUCCAUAGCUGGUCUGAGAGGAUGAUCAGCCACACUGGGACUGAGACACGGCCCAGACUCC
Molecule: ribosomal RNA, 235 nt
Filed under: uncultured bacterium
Lineage: Bacteria
Description: partial 16S ribosomal RNA
Rfam family: Bacterial small subunit ribosomal RNA
Source: RNAcentral